AUGCUUGUCAUAGCCGCUAUCCCGCAUGAUGAGGACUAUCACGACUUUGCCGACCAACGCACACUUUUCCUUGGGAUCCCUAAUACGCUGAAUGUGGUCUCAAUGAUCCCCUUCUUUUUUGUCGGUCUUGCCAGGCUCAUCCUUAACCACUGCGAAAGCUCACAGAGGCGUCUCUAUACACUCCUUUUUGCUGGUGUCAGUGUUGUUGGUUUUGGUUCAUUCUUUUACCAUCUCAACCCGAAAAAUGACACCCUAUUUUGGGACACAUUGCCAAUGAUGAUCGCUUUCACAUCUUUUGAGGCCAUUUUCAUUAUCGAAAGGUUUGAUGAUUGGGCAGGAACAAAGUCGUUUGAAUCAACGAGCUACUGGUUAUGGGCAGCAGGAUUUUACGUUCUUGCAAGAGUAGAAGAAGUUGCAGACAAACCAAUUUAUACGUGGACACUUCAUAUUUUCAGUGGGCAUACUCUUGGUCAUUUAUGUGCUGCAAUGGUGCCUCUUUUUUUCAUUCUCAUGUUAGUGAAAAGGACAAGGCCAAUUCAACCAGAAAGACACAUGAUUGUGCAUCAUCAAUUAAAGCUUGCUUUCAUGAUCUGCUUAUUGGUGCCCAAGAUGAUCUACCUAUGGAUGCCCAAGUUACAGGUUAGUGCCAUAAUGUAUGAAAUCAGCAUUUUGAUGUGGGAGUUCAGUGCUCGUUAUGUGGCUAAUCAGGCAAAGACCUCUGAGGAGCGAGGAAUGUUAGAAACCCCAAUUCGUGCUCGGCAAAUAGUGCCUCGUAUUCGCGGCCUUUAUGGGAUGGAUAUUUAUAAGAAUAAGGUCUUGAAUUCUUACAAAGUGAACGAUCGGAUGAGUCUAUAUUUGGAUUAUGGGGCACGUCAGGUGUUGGCAAGACACGGCUUCUUUCACUCAUCGCUGAUAGCUAUGCUGAUUCAUUUCGUCAUGUCAUAUUUCUUGAUGGUGGCAGUAGCGUGA
RNAcentral lists this ribosomal RNA (969 nucleotides) under Triticum aestivum (bread wheat). RNAcentral's name for it is "partial small subunit ribosomal RNA". Lineage: Eukaryota; Viridiplantae; Streptophyta; Magnoliopsida; Poales; Poaceae. The record is from RNAcentral.